RNAcentral lists this ribosomal RNA (925 nucleotides) under Anaerosinus sp. Jh2. Its description in RNAcentral is "bacterial SSU rRNA". It matches the Rfam family "Bacterial small subunit ribosomal RNA", at positions 9 to 916 of the family's 1533-position model. Lineage: Bacteria; Bacillati; Bacillota; Negativicutes; Selenomonadales; Sporomusaceae. The record is from RNAcentral.
GAGUUUGAUCCUGGCUCAGGACGAACGCUGGCGGCGUGCCUAACACAUGCAAGUCGAACGGAGAAUUAGCAAUAAUUCUUAGUGGCGAACGGGUGAGUAACGCGUAGACAACCUACCCUUUAGAUGGGGACAACACCGCGAAAGUGGUGCUAAUACCGAAUAUUGCUUGAGAAGCGCAUGCUUCUCAAACUAAAGAUGGCCUCUAUAUAUAAGCUAUCGCUAAAGAAUGGGUCUGCGUCUGAUUAGCUAGUUGGUGAGAUAAAAGCUCACCAAGGCAACGAUCAGUAGCCGGUCUGAGAGGAUGAACGGCCACACUGGGACUGAGACACGGCCCAGACUCCUACGGGAGGCAGCAGUGGGGAAUCUUCCGCAAUGGACGAAAGUCUGACGGAGCAACGCCGCGUGAGUGAUGAAGGUUUUCGGAUCGUAAAACUCUGUUGUUAAGGACGAAUGUAUAGAUUGUGAAUAAUGGUUUAUAAUGACGGUACUUAACGAGGAAGCCACGGCUAACUACGUGCCAGCAGCCGCGGUAAUACGUAGGUGGCAAGCGUUGUCCGGAAUUAUUGGGCGUAAAGGGAGCGCAGGUGGGAAUGUAAGUCAAUCUUAAAAGUGCGGGGCUCAACCCCGUGAUGGGAUAGAAACUACAUUUCUUGAGUGCAGGAGAGGAAAGUGGAAUUCCUAGUGUAGCGGUGAAAUGCGUAGAUAUUAGGAGGAACACCAGUGGCGAAGGCGACUUUCUGGACUGUUACUGACACUGAGGCUCGAAAGCUAGGGGAGCGAACGGGAUUAGAUACCCCGGUAGUCCUAGCCGUAAACGAUGGGUACUAGGUGUAGAGGGUAUCGACCCCUUCUGUGCCGGAGUUAACGCAAUAAGUACCCCGCCUGGGGAGUACGGCCGCAGGUUGAAACUCAAAGGAAUUGACGG